Molecule: ribosomal RNA, 250 nt
Filed under: uncultured bacterium
Lineage: Bacteria
Description: partial 16S ribosomal RNA
Rfam family: Bacterial small subunit ribosomal RNA
Source: RNAcentral
UACGUAGGAUGCGAGCGUUGUCCGGAAUCACUGGGUGUAAAGGGAGCGCAGGCGGUUUAGCAAGUCAUUGGUGAAAUUCUCGGGCUCAACCCGGGGGCUGCCAAUGAUACUGCUGAUCUUGAGUGUGGAAGAGGUAGAUGGAAUUCCUGGUGUAGCGGUGAAAUGCGUAGAUAUCAGGAAGAACACCGAUGGCGAAGGCAGUCUACUGGUCCAUUACUGACGCUCAUGCUCGAAAGCGUGGGGAGCAAAC